This is a long non-coding RNA of Salmo salar (Atlantic salmon), 2552 nucleotides long. RefSeq lists it as uncharacterized. Lineage: Eukaryota; Metazoa; Chordata; Actinopteri; Salmoniformes; Salmonidae. The record is from RefSeq and is a predicted model, not a curated record.
GUCAGCAAAGGAAAUCAAUUAUCGUAGUGACACUUGGUUGAUCCCACGCACCAAAUCAUGCAUAUAAGCAUGCCCCAUUCAAAUAACGUCUAUUGUUCAUUCAUACAUCCUAUUUGAUGCUAUAGUCUUCUUAUCAGCAUUGGAUGUACAGCAGGAACAUAAGCUUUAAAUUCGUAUUCAUUGGGACUGUAAACCCUUCCCUUUUUAUGCCGAAGACAAGAGGAUACUCAACCUAAUCAAGAAAUGAUGGAAAUUAAAAAGGAGAUUCUGAGGACCACCCUUUGUGUUUUCUUUGUGGUGACUGCAUCUUAUUCCAAACCAGUCAGUCUGCAUGGAUUCCAGUUCAGAAACCUGAUGGCUGACAGCCUGGAAUCUUCUGAGUCUUCUGAGUCCAACGAGUCUUCUGAGAACAUUGGCGUAGCACCACAGACAACCAAUGGCCAGCCAAUGGUCACUGGCGCUGAGACUGCAAUACCAGACACAGAGGAGGAGACCGAUCCACAAGACAGCGAUGCUAUAGCCUCUGAAACAGCCUCAGCGGUUGAUGAUGCUUUGAUCGCUUCACAAACUGCACUUGGAACUGACGCCUCAUCAGCAGACUCACUAAAUGGGACAGAAACUGAGACUACUUCACAACAUCCAGUCAUAAUCACAGUGACUGAUUCUCCCAGUCUGACUUCUGAUGUCAUAACCCAUAUUAGGUCUAUGGUCACGACGGCUCUUCCAUCAAUCAUUGACACAGCUACAAUCCAAGAAUUCCAUGUGGGCACAACACUUUCCCCGAGCCCAUACCCCAUACCCAUUAUGGAGCAGCCAACAACUCCACCAGUCUCCUCAGUACUAGGCCUAACUCCCCAGCAGCCAGUUCCAUGGGAAACCACUGAUGACAUAUCUGCUGUGCCAGGUUGUUUUACUGUAGUAUACAUAACUAGCCCUCAGCCAGUUCAUGCUAGAGGCGAUAACAUUUAAAGCUGAGAGGAACCUAUAAUAUCUUUGAUUAAAGAUGGAAUCCGAAGUAGGGGGAACAGCGUCACUGGCCACCCCACCACUGUUGUUAUUGUUUUUGUUGCCGAGCUUAGGAGCGUCGGCAAGGAUGGUAAAAAUGUUUGCAUGUAUUGCCGUGUAAUGAUGUCCGAGGCGGAAAAAACGGUGUUCUUUGUUUGUAGUAACUUCUUUGUUGUUGUAAUAUUGCAAACGGACAUGGCUGUUUCACCAUUAAGGAUUCUAGCUUUAAAGGUCCAAUGCAGCCAUUUUUUUUAUCUCAAUAUCAAAUAAUUUCUGGGAAACAAUUAAGUACUUUACUGUCAUUGUUAUGAAUUAAAAUUGUCAAAAUUCAAAAGUCACUUCACAUCUUUGUUGCAGGUGGAUGCUAACAGUUUAAUAAGAUGAAAGCUCUGACGAAGGCUUUGAGGCCGAUACAUAAAGCUUAGUAAAGAGCAGUGAUACUAGCAAGAGCAGUGUGCGGGUUUCUUAUUAUUUCUCAAAUUAAAAUUGUCAAAAAGAAACAAAAAUAUAUUCUUAGUAAAGAGCAAUUUCUCAAGCAAAAAUGUUGCUAGGACUGUCUGGUAGUGGUCUGAGUGGGUAGGGGAAAACUGAACAUUUGCUGUUAUUGGCAAGAGAGGUUUGUAACUUUCUUCCUUAUUGGUCUAUUAACUAAUUUACUGCCUGGUGAUGGCCAAAACUCCAUCCCAUCAAAACAGGCUAAGAUUUCAGGCAGUCUUUUCAAACAGCUCUUAAGCUAAAAGGGCAUUAUCAUAAUUUUCACAAUUUGACAGUAUUAUUCCAACUUCAUAGCAUGGAAAUAUGUAUAAAACGCAAGGAAAUCAUUUUUUGGACAGCAUUGUGCCUUUAAAUCCAGGCACAAAAGCAGACUUCUUUUUAAUUUGUCUUAGUGAGCUGCACAUUACUGACACCUACAUUAGUGCCUUGUGAGCUGGAGGGCCUGCAACUGGCUAGAACACUCAUGAAAAUGAUUCACUAGUGAUAAAGAUGCAGAUAUACCGUACCUCAUAUUGCUCAGUCUUUCACAAGACAAUCUUCAAUAUAUUUGGUGGUAGGAAGCCUAGUGGUUAGAGCGUUGGACUAGUAACAGGAAGAUUGCAAGAUCAAAUCCCCGAGCUGACAAGGUAAAAAUCUGUUGUUCUGCCCCCUAGGCCGUCAUUGAAAAUAAGAAUUUGUUCUUAACUGACUUGCCUAGUCAAAUAAAGGCAAAAUAUACUUUUGUCUGAUUUGUUUUGAAACGUGACACCUUUUGUCCUGAGAUGAUAACAGUCUGUAAUCUGAUGCAUUGGGAUUUUUCAACUCUUAAACCGCUCAAAGCCACUUGUGGUGUAAAAUGCAUACUCAUCGGAUAAUGUGGAUUGAGCAGCAUAUUAACAUUAAUAGCCUGCUCAGAAAUACCCUUUAUUUUGUAGAUCUUAUCUAUUGUCCACUUUUUGAAUCCCCACAGGAAACACCUACUAGGCACUGUUUUUCAAAUCAUCCAACUGAAAGAAGUAAGUUGUUGUUGUCUGCAUUGGGAAUUGUAUUCAUUAAAAUAUAUAAAAUGUUGA